GAGGCUAAUCAUGACACACUGUUUCUUGUUUUUUAGGAUCUCUUGCAGUUGGGUGAUGGCCACGUGACCUAGUUCUAGACUGAGAAGGAAUCAACUGGGAAGGAAAACAUAAGGGGCUCCACAUGAGGAAAGGAGAUAUAGCCAGCGUCACUCUGUCUCCCUCUUCCUGCUUUGAAAAUGACUGUGAACUCCACUUGUGCCCUCUAGGUCAAAAUGCAUUCUACUGU
This 227-nucleotide long non-coding RNA is filed under the name Marmota monax (woodchuck). The record is from RNAcentral. Lineage: Eukaryota; Metazoa; Chordata; Mammalia; Rodentia; Sciuridae.